AUUACCGAGUGCGGGUUCGAACGAGCCCAACCUCCCACCCGUGUUUACUGUUACCGCGUUGCCUCGGCGGGCCCACUGGGGCCUGGCCCCGGUCGCCGGGGGGCUUCUGCCCCCGGGCCCGCUCCCGCCGAAGCACCCUAGAACCCUGCCUGAACAGUGAGUCUGAGUGAGAUUUUAAAUCAUUAAAACUUUCAACAACGGAUCUCUUGGUUCCGGCAUCGAUGAAGAACGCAGCGAAAUGCGAUAAGUAAUGUGAAUUGCAGAAUUCCGUGAAUCAUCGAAUCUUUGAACGCACAUUGCGCCCCCUGGCAUUCCGGGGGGCAUGCCUGUCCGAGCGUCAUUUCUGCCCUCCAGCACGGCUGGGUGUUGGGCGCUGUCCCCCCGGGGACACGCCCCAAAAGCAGUGGCGGCGCCGCGUCGGGUCCUCGAGCGUAUGGGGCUCUGUCACCCGCUCGGGAGGGACUCGGUCGGCGCUGGUCUUCCCUUUAGGCCGCCCUUCGGGGUGCGCCUCUUCCGGUUGACCUCGGAUCAGGUAGGGCUACCCGCUGAACUUAAGCAUAUCAAUAAGCGGAGGAAAAGAAACCAACAGGGAUUGCCUCAGUAACGGCGAGUGAAGCGGCAAGAGCUCAAAUUUGAAAUCUGGCUCCUUCGGGGCCCGAGUUGUAAUUUGGAGAGGAUGCUUCGGGCGUGGCCCCUAUCUAAGUGCCCUGGAACGGG
This 717-nucleotide ribosomal RNA is filed under the name fungal sp. RNAcentral's name for it is "eukaryotic LSU rRNA". The stretch from base 187 to 340 matches the Rfam family "5.8S ribosomal RNA". The record is from RNAcentral. Lineage: Eukaryota; Fungi.